CUUUAGAAAAUUUGAGAAACUAUUGUAGAACCAUUCGGUGGCCGGUAUGGGAGGUUUAUCCGCCACUGAAGGGUUAUGGACUAAAUUUUAAAAAGAGGCCAGGGUCUAGAUCUCGUUAAUUAACAUGUCAUUUUUGUUCAUUUUUUUUUCUAAUUCUGCGACAUCUGGGGAAAAAAUCAAUCUUCCAAUCAUGACGCAGGCACCUCAAGGCCACACAAGCAAAUCAAAUUAAACUUUAGAAACUGACAUAUCGUUUUUGUUCAAUCUUUUCUGGAAGAACAGAGCUACAUGUAAAGGUACAAAGUUGUUUUUUACUAUUUCUCAUAUGCGUAAAGAAAAUUGGUUUCAUGAUUUCAUUCAACCAGAAAUGUCUUCAUCAUUUAAUUUUAAUUAAUGUGAGGAUUAUACAUAAUAUGAUAUUAUGGUUUUUAUGUUUUUUCAAUGCUAUAGUCUUGUCGUGAGAUGGAAUAAGAUCAUGCCAUACUAUAGAUAGGUUGUGCUUAAGUAUUGAGUGAACCCAUCCCCAUUUGCAAAAAUUUCUAGCUCCUGCAAUAGAUAUAUAAGUAGGGUGUGUGCAUUUCUCAGUCGAUGAUCAGAGCUAUUCAGUUAAGAUUAGUUUUACUAUAAUUUGUACUUGU
This 638-nucleotide long non-coding RNA is filed under the name Brachypodium distachyon (stiff brome). RNAcentral's name for it is "long non-coding RNA (BDIS_LNC000072)". Lineage: Eukaryota; Viridiplantae; Streptophyta; Magnoliopsida; Poales; Poaceae. The record is from RNAcentral.